This 434-nucleotide ribosomal RNA is filed under the name uncultured Lachnospiraceae bacterium. RNAcentral describes it as "partial 16S ribosomal RNA". It matches the Rfam family "Bacterial small subunit ribosomal RNA", at positions 341 to 792 of the family's 1533-position model. Lineage: Bacteria; Bacillati; Bacillota; Clostridia; Lachnospirales; Lachnospiraceae. The record is from RNAcentral.
ACGGGAGGCAGCAGUGGGGAAUAUUGCACAAUGGGGGAAACCCUGAUGUAGCGACGCCGCGUGAAGGAAGAAGUAUCUCGGUAUGUAAACUUCUAUCAGCAGGGAAGAUAAUGACGGUACCUGACUAAGAAGCCCCGGCUAACUACGUGCCAGCAGCCGCGGUAAUACGUAGGGGGCAAGCGUUAUCCGGAUUUACUGGGUGUAAAGGGAGCGUAGACGGUUUGGCAAGUCUGAAGUGAAAUGCGGGGGCUCAACUCCUGAACUGCUUUGGAAACUGUCGAACUAGAGUGCAGGAGAGGUAAGUGGAAUUCCUAGUGUAGCGGUGAAAUGCGUAGAUAUUAGGAGGAACACCAGUGGCGAAGGCGGCUUACUGGACUGUAACUGACGUUGAGGCUCGAAAGCGUGGGGAGCAAACAGGAUUAGAUACCCUGGUA